UCCCUGGUGGUCCAGUGGCUAAGACUCCAUGCUCAAAAUGCAGGUGGUCAAGGUUCAAUUCCUGGUCAGGGAA
Non-coding RNA from Bos taurus (domestic cattle), 73 nucleotides. Lineage: Eukaryota; Metazoa; Chordata; Mammalia; Artiodactyla; Bovidae. The record is from Rfam.